This 852-nucleotide ribosomal RNA is filed under the name uncultured organism. Its description in RNAcentral is "SSU rRNA". It matches the Rfam family "Bacterial small subunit ribosomal RNA", at positions 617 to 1481 of the family's 1533-position model. The record is from RNAcentral.
AAAAUUGCAGUUGAUACUGGGGACCUUGAGUGCGGCAGAGGCAGGCGGAAUUCGUGGUGUAGCGGUGAAAUGCUUAGAUAUCACGAAGAACUCCGAUUGCGAAGGCAGCUUGCUGGACCGUAACUGACGUUGAUGCUCGAAAGUGCGGGUAUCAAACAGGAUUAGAUACCCUGGUAGUCCGCACAGUAAACGAUGAAUACUCGCUGUUGGCGAUAUACUGCCAGCGGCCAAGCGAAAGCGUUAAGUAUUCCACCUGGGGAGUACGCCGGCAACGGUGAAACUCAAAGGAAUUGACGGGGGCCCGCACAAGCGGAGGAACAUGUGGUUUAAUUCGAUGAUACGCGAGGAACCUUACCCGGGCUUGAACUGCAGCGGAAUGAUUUGGAAACAGAUCAGCGAGCAAUCGCCGCUGUGGAGGUGCUGCAUGGUUGUCGUCAGCUCGUGCCGUGAGGUGUCGGCUUAAGUGCCAUAACGAGCGCAACCCUUACCGAUAGUUGCCAUCAGGUGACGCUGGGGACUCUAUCGGGACUGCCGUCGUAAGAUGUGAGGAAGGUGGGGAUGACGUCAAAUCAGCACGGCCCUUACGUCCGGGGCUACACACGUGUUACAAUGGGGGGUACAGCAGGCCGCUACCGGGCGACCGGAUGCCAAUCCCUAAAACCCCUCUCAGUUCGGACUGGAGUCUGCAACCCGACUCCACGAAGCUGGAUUCGCUAGUAAUCGCGCAUCAGCCACGGCGCGGUGAAUACGUUCCCGGGCCUUGUACACACCGCCCGUCAAGCCAUGAAAGCCGGGGGUACCUGAAGUGCGUAACCGCAAGGAGCGCCCUAGGGUAAAACUGGUGAUUGGGGC